Molecule: long non-coding RNA, 5762 nt
Filed under: Daucus carota (carrot)
Lineage: Eukaryota; Viridiplantae; Streptophyta; Magnoliopsida; Apiales; Apiaceae
Description: long non-coding RNA (DCAR_LNC004273)
Source: RNAcentral
UCAAAUUUAUUCAGUAGUAUCACCUUCCACAUAAUAUGUAUGUAAACUUUUGCAUCUGUGAAUUACUAUAUAUAUGGAUGCUCACUGAGUUGAGUUCGUCAAGCCUUCAACAUUAUAUCAUUUAAUUACUUGUUCAUAAUGGAGUUCUUCAAGAUUGUCUUCGCACUUCUCUCUCUCUUCAAGCUCUCCUAAUCACCUCGGCAACACAGUUAGCUUCCGCGCCAACCUCAGACAUCUUCCGAGAACACAUAGAUGUAGAGUUUAACAACAUAAGAUUCUCAGCCGUGCCAAUAAACCUGAAUGUUGAAUUCCAUUUUAUCUUAACUUUUGCAAUAGACUAUACCACUUCAUCGUCGCCUUCCCCUACCAAUGGAAAUUUCAACAUAUAUUGGGACAAUAAUAAUCUCAGCCCUUCUCAAAAAGUAUGGAUUAAAUUAGUCCUUGAGUGUGCCACACUUGCUACACAAUGUUGUAAAAUAUGAGGGCCAUGAGUGUGCCACACUUGCCCCAGUUGACGAAUUUCAUACACAUGUAUAUAGAAUUGUCCAGAUUUCAUAGUAGUAAAAAAUGUCCGGAAAGAUUAUCGAUAUUCUGAAAUAGCCUCUACACAUUACACACACUGUUAAAAAUGAAAUCGGGUCACAAUUUGAUCCCUGUCUCACAUAGCUAAUGGUGGAAUGAACAUUAGAGAUUAUACAGGUCUAAGAUACCUUUACUUAAGUCUUUAGUAAUUUCUUUUUAUUUGAGGGAGUUCAACUUCUGCUAUAAAUUUAGCUUAAGGAUUCCCCUUUUGCUCUAUUAUCAAGCAGAAGGCAAGAGGAGGCCUCCAAUCUCUGUCAUGCAUCAACCCAUCAACCAAGUCUGAGUGUUGGCUCAAUAUCAUUCCCUAUGCAACUUAAGAAGUCAAACCAAAAGUCAGGAUCCAGGAUCAGUAGGGUUCUGUACUUCUGUAGAGAAACAUUAUUUCCAUGCCUUUCUUAAAUGCUCAUACAAAUGUCCACAUUACACUUUUCUAAUAUAUAACAUUCUGAUAUUAGUUUCUUUUAUACAAACCUCUAAGCCAUAGAGCAGCAUUUCCAGCAUAAGAUAGCAACAAUAUAAUUACUUUUAAUGCAUUUGAGGAUGUAUUCUUGAUUCUCUAUGCGCCACAAUUCAACAUAUAAGUGUUUUUGCAAAUUCAUAUAGAUCAUACCUCGUAUAUAAGAGAAGCAGCCCCAUUCAAGUACAGUUGUCCAAGAAAGCAGUAAUAUUAAUUCCUAUCAUCGCAAGAUGUUGGUAAAUUGGCUGCACCACAAUGGUUUCUGCAAGAAUAUAAUCACGCCGAGUUGAUGAAUAUAUAGUGGCAGUGAAUAAAUGAAGCAUGUGAGUAAUCAUAGCAAAUAUAGCACCAUAAAAGGAGAAAAAAUUAAUAGCACAAAAAAACUUGACCAACCUCCAAAAAGUUGAGCAAUAACAGUGUAAAAUAAUUUAAGGUCCAGUUGAGAUCAAACCGGAUGAAAAGAAAGUACUAUAUUGCCGCAUCUGUAAAGUUCAAUUCAUCAUAAGGAAUCUUUAUGUAAACUUCCUUACUUGAGUCAUUGGGAAGAACUGCAUUAUGCACAUCUAUUUGAUCGACUUCCCAAUUUGUAAUAGCUCUAAGGUGACUUUUAUAUGAUCAUGCUGAAGAUCAAAAACUCAAAUGCACUUUAAAAUAAAAUAUUUCCAACAUGAAUCAUUCACGACAUACCAAAGCUAAUGUCCAUGGUCACUGGAAUGAUCGUCAUGGCCUUCCCAAGGAUGUUGCCAGCCCUAUAAGAUAUGCCAAUGAAAUUAGAGAGAACAAUAGCUACAUGCAACAAAAUCAAAGUCGAAUGAAAUAAUGCGCUUCUACUCACCAAUACUACAGGACCAUCCUAUAAGAUAUCUCAUUUAGUAAAACUUUUAACUUUGUCAUUUUUCGUUGUGAAGAUGUCCAUGUGUACAACGUACUUGUAAGUUCACCAGAGGACCGUCCCAACACUGAUGGAAUCCAUAUCACUGGGUCAGCGAAUGUCAUCAUCCAGAAUACUAAAAUUGGAACAGGUUAUUAAACUACACUUUUUUACUCCCCAAUACAAUUAAUGCAUAUUCUUUACCUCUUUAUGCUCUUUGAAUUAAGGAUUUAAAUUUUCCAUCCCACAUCUCAGUAGUAUAAGUGGCAGAGAAAUACCAAAUUUUAAUUACGAUCCUUGAAUCAAGUAUUUAAAAUUUCCAUCCCAAUAUCUUAGAGUAUAUUUGACAGAGACAUACAAAAUUUCAUGUAGGAAAUCGCAGUACAAAUGUCCCCGUGUCCUGAAACCUUCCAUUAUCUUUGAGUGAAGCUUCUGCUUCUUCUUUCGUAAUGAGCCCUUUAAUCCAUUUUUGACCUAUAAAAGCUCAAAACCUGUAAAAAUUAUAAAUUUUAACAUCUAAUAAGCAAGCAUAAUAUAUUUCAUGUUAAUCAAAUAACUGAAAAUACAAAAAGCAAAUCCAAGACACUCCCAUAAAACACGAAAUAAACACGAAAUUGGUAACGAAUUAGUACACGAAAUAUUAAAAUUUUACAAAUGUUGUCCAAAUUCUGGCUUAACCAUUAGCACAGUUACAUAAAAUAAAGGAUAAAUUAGGCAACUUCAAAUUUGUCUGCGACCAACUUUUUAUCCAGUUUUCAGCCAAGAGCUUGCAAGAAUGUACAUAAAAAAAUAUAAAUAGAAUGCCACAAAUACAGCCUUCAGCCAGAGCAUAUCUGAACGCCGAGUAUAUAAAUCAGAGUCAUGUACUAAUAGUUCAACAGUUGAUCUGGCUUCAACAGAUACACAAAGAAACAACAAAAGAAACCCACCGAGUCAACACACAACAACUCUGUAACUCGCUAAUCGAAACACAACACUUCAGCAGCAAACGAAAGAAAAAAUAGCAGCGAAACACGGGAAUCGACUCAGAAACAUAACCUAGCAAAAUCAAACCCAACUCAGAACUAAAGAAACGAAAGGUAUUUUUUUUUCUUUGGUUGUAACAUUAUUGAGCUCCAUGGACAACUGACAACCACCUGAUAUAGUCACAGGAAAAAUUUGUAGAGCCAGACUUUCAAUGAAUAACUUUACCAGGUUGUCCAAGUCCACUCUAAUUUUGGUGGCACUAACUAUACAUUCCUCGUUUUCUGUCACCACCCUUCUAAAAUAAUAAGUAUAACACACUGACUCAACUAAUCAUAAAAUGCUCAUGCAAGCUCCUGCACUAAUAAAAAUUUGUUAAACCGCAUGACCAAUUUCAAGUAAGAAAGAGUAGGAGACAAUGUGACACAAAACAUAACAGAUUUCCAAUUUUUGUUCCUGGUUUUACAAACUGCAGGGGAGCAAAGAAAACAGCGACUCAACCAAUAUGAAUACUUGAUUAUUGGCCUACAUGUACACAACUGAUGGAUCAAAUGUAAAGCUAGUUAAUGAGACAGCAAGCCUCAUCAUUCAAGUAUAUCACAAACACCCUGCUCAGAAACAAAACACACAUCACAUUACCUCAAACAGAAGGAUUAGUCUCAUCUGCAAUUUCCACCCUCGUGAUAUCUUGCGUCAGCUCUUCCAAUGAGUAAUUAUGGAAAACUACGAUAAAAAAUACAAUAUCUACAUUAGUUAUAAAAGCAACAGAGGCUGCAAGAAGCAGUCAUUGGAGGUAUCCGCCUAAAGAACCCAUGAUAUUCAACAGCCUAACAGUCACUAAAACCAUUUCAACUAAAAAGUUUCAAAUUCUGAAAAUUUUUAUACAGAAUUAGGCAAAUCACCUCAACACACAUGGACAUAUAUCACUUCUUGAAACAAACAUGUGACAUUAAUGAGGUACAUAUAUGCAUAUUUAUGGGUCAAAAUUCUGAUGAACAAAGAAAUCAUAGUGAUAUACUACUCAACACCGUUAUUAUCUUGCAAUUGUUAAAAUAGUAUCAAAAAUAAGAAAUUAUAAAAUUCACAUAACUUUCUUAAUCAUCUACAAACAAAUACUACCUCACUUCUUCUCUCACUUCCUCCUUAAUCUUAAAACCACAGCAAUACUUGGAGCUCAAUCUUACAAUGAGCCUUAAUCCCAUUAAUGUUACGUCUGCAUCAAACAUAGAAAUCAAAUUAGUAAUAUCUAAUUAGUAAAUAAAAUAUAAUUAUGAGACAAUGUCUUGUAUAUAGAUAGGUGAGCAGAACCAUGACACAGAGUCGAGAAAUCAUAAAACCAGAAUUAAAAUCAUAAACAAUUCCAAGGCUAAAGCAGAAUCAAAUGCAGAAGAGCCAAAUGAACUUCGAAUGCAACAUGUUUUAUUUUCUGUUAAACCAGCAUGCUUGUACUUUAAAAAAAUUCACCUUUUUCUACAAUCCAAGUGAUUUAUGACUUUAAACUCCAAUGUGAUGGAAAUCGACAAAUAUCAAGAACACACGUAUCAAAAACACAUACUCACAGGUGGGAUUACUGAUCAAAACUGAAUUUUGCACUGACAUUCAUCCAUCAAACAAUUACAGAGCUUGAAUCUACAGUUUCCAGCUUAAAAAACUCUCCAUAAUCAAUAGAUAUAAACUAAACUCAAAGCUAAAACACAAUCAAAUAAUUAAAGAGCCAAUUCAACUUCCAUUUCAUUAAAUCCACAUUACACGUACUACUAAAAUGCUACCUACACAUAGAAUCCGAAACUCUAGAAUCCACCAAAAACAAUCUCAACUAACCUCCAAAACCAUAAAGAGUAAUAUUGAAACUGGAAAUUUUAAUGGCCAAUUAUUUAGAUGAAUAUGAACUGAACUCCCAGUAGUUGCCAGUAUAUUACAAAUAUGAUGCUGUAUAACAGUGAUUACAUAAUUGUAACAGUGGUUCAAAAUAAAAUUUAAGUAGUUGCAUAUCUCUCACUCUGAAAUAUUAUCAAACAUGUUAUGUGCAUUCAUUAGCCUUUAUUAUAUCAACUCUAUUGACAAAACCUAAUUAAACCCGAGAUUAAAAACGAAAGCUAGAUACUAAAGUGAAAGAAGAAGAAAAACCUGAGAUCAGAAGCGCAUCAAUAAAUGGAGAGAAAUAGGCAGCAGUGUAGGUUACCACUUACUUUGUGUAUUUGAGGAUUCCUGAUGUGUUCUAUUGGACCCGUUAUUCUUUCUUCUUCUUCGAACUGGGCCUCCUACAUCUCAGUUGUAAUGAAUGAGAUACAAACACAAUAAAUACAACAGAGCGUAACAGAAAUGAACAGAACACAAAAAUCUAACCACAAUCACCUUGCAAGGAGGUGAAAUUAUCAAGCUUGAGAUGAUCCCAAUUAGCCUGAAAGUAAGGAGAAAGCGUCUGUUAUCUUAAUCUAUCAGUUAACAUGAAAAGAACCAAGGAAAAUACAUACCUCUCUCAUAAAUUCGUGGCAAAAUCGAUAGCUGAGAAUCAAUUUCAGAGCUGGGAAUUUCAAUUUGGAGGAUUAGGGUUCGUAUGCUGGUGAAGAGUGAACUGAGAUCUAAAUUUGAAUUCAUGGUUUGAAUAAGGAGUAGUAGGCAGCGGAGAGACAGAGUUGAGCAAAAAACAAUUUGAACUUCAAACUGCAGCAGCUCAAUGUCCUUCCAAUUGAGGAAGUUUUGAUUUAAUUAAUAUUAUAUGCACAGACAGACAGCAAAAAGAAUGGGAAAGACGCCACAACAUGACAAAUGUUGUACUGUCCGAGAAUUAAUUAAGCUUGACUGGUUGUGUAUUUGGUUUGAAACGAAUGGCAAAUGUUGUAAUUUAGCAUGAAGUUUUAGGGUAGGGGGUGUAAAUAUGUUGGCAAG